AGUUUGAUCCUGGCUCAGAUUGAACGCUGGCGGCAUGCUUUACACAUGCAAGUCGAACGGCAGCGGGGGCUUCGGCCUGCCGGCGAGUGGCGAACGGGUGAGUAAUACAUCGGAACGUGUCCUUAAGUGGGGAAUAACGCAUCGAAAGAUGUGCUAAUACCGCAUAUCUCUCAGGAGGAAAGCAGGGGAUCGAAAGACCUUGCGCUAAAGGAGCGGCUGAUGUCUGAUUAGCUAGUUGGUGAGGUAAAGGCUUACCAAGGCAACGAUCAGUAGCUGGUCUGAGAGGACGACCAGCCACACUGGGACUGAGAUACGGCCCAGACUCCUACGGGAGGCAGCAGUGGGGAAUUUUGGACAAUGGGCGAAAGCCUGAUCCAGCCAUGCCGCGUGAGUGAAGAAGGCCUUCGGGUUGUAAAGCUCUUUUAGUCGGAAAGAAAGAGUCAUAGUAAAUAGCUAUGAUUUAUGACGGUACCGACAGAAAAAGCACCGGCUAACUACGUGCCAGCAGCCGCGGUAAUACGUAGGGUGCGAGCGUUAAUCGGAAUUACUGGGCGUAAAGGGUGCGCAGGCGGCCUUGUAAGUCAGAUGUGAAAGCCCCGGGCUUAACCUGGGAAUUGCGUUUGAAACCACAAAGCUAGAGUGCAGCAGAGGGGAGUGGAAUUCCAUGUGUAGCAGUGAAAUGCGUAGAGAUGUGGAAGAACACCGAUGGCGAAGGCAGCUCCCUGGGUUGACACUGACGCUCAUGCACGA
RNAcentral lists this ribosomal RNA (750 nucleotides) under uncultured bacterium. RNAcentral describes it as "bacterial SSU rRNA". It matches the Rfam family "Bacterial small subunit ribosomal RNA", at positions 10 to 756 of the family's 1533-position model. The record is from RNAcentral.